RNAcentral lists this ribosomal RNA (243 nucleotides) under uncultured bacterium. RNAcentral describes it as "partial small subunit ribosomal RNA". It matches the Rfam family "Bacterial small subunit ribosomal RNA", at positions 26 to 285 of the family's 1533-position model. The record is from RNAcentral.
AGAACGAACGCUGGCGGCAUGCCUAACACAUGCAAGUCGAACGCUCUUGGGGCUUCGGUCUCAGGGGAGUGGCGCACGGGUGAGUAACACGUGACUAACCUACCCUGGAGUGGGGGAUAACUGGGAGAAAUCCUAGCUAAUACCGCAUAAUACCUACGGGUCAAAGGAGCAAUUCGCUUCAGGAGGGGUCGCGGCCGAUUAGUUAGUUGGCGGGGUAAUGGCCCACCAAGACGAUGAUCGGUA